RNAcentral lists this long non-coding RNA (2275 nucleotides) under Marmota monax (woodchuck). The record is from RNAcentral. Lineage: Eukaryota; Metazoa; Chordata; Mammalia; Rodentia; Sciuridae.
GCAGGACGGAGCAGCCCAGCAUGCGUUGAUUAACUUUACAGCUCAGUGUAGGGAGGGGCGAGUCCUGGGACAGGGUAACUCAGCACAGGUUGGGGCAGGGCAGGUUAUCUCAGUAGGGUGGAGGAAGGGCUCUGCAGGCAUUUCAGUCCCUCAGGGGAAGUCUCCACUUCCUGGACUCACUGGAAUUGGCCUCCCUGACCGACCUGACUCAAUUCACCCAUCUAUACUGACUGCCUGUCUAGCUCUGGCUUCGAAAGGGAGCCAACUCCACCAAAAUGUGGGCUCCACUCGAAUUGGCAGGUGAGGAGGUCUCUAGUACUGGACCUCCACAAUACCACCAGCACCUGCCAAGCUAGAGAAAGUGCCACGUGAUUAGACAUCUCCUGAAAGGACAGGCUCUCACUGCAUCAGAUAUAUUUCCCAGGAAACCAACUGCCCCCACCUACCCACACCCUAGAGAGACAGGACGUGUAACUGGCUCCAAGGGAAGGAGGUUGGAUGGUCUUUGGGGACACUUGCCUUGGGCCCUUAGAUACCAGGAACAACAACGAUAGGGUCCUGCAAGAUUCAUUUCCCCAAGUUGUCUUCCUGAAAGAGGGAUCUCAUAGAGCUCAUGCCCAUGGGUCUGAGGUCCAUCCAGGGGGGGCCUCCCGAGUCUCCAGGCUCCCUGUUGAGCAACAGAACAAUUGCCUUUAUUUCAUGCAUGAACAGAACUUUUAACUCCUUCCAUCCGGGCUUUUGCCUCAUGUAGCCAAUUUCUACUUUAAAAGUUAGUUGUAAAUCUCUGACUUCUAAGAUACCCAUAGUGACAUCAUGAUUAAAUCUCCAGACAUUAAUUUCCCCAGAAUCUGCUGGACAGUGAUAUUGGUUUGCCCCAGAUAAUCUCCCUAGUUAUGUAGGUCUCCACAGGGGACAGCCUGACAGGCUUCAACUUAACCCAGAGGCAGGUGGUCCAGGUUACAUUAAUGAUCAACUUACAGGAUGGGAUUUUCCACGUCACUAUGAUGCCAUUAGAGUCCUGUCAAGGUUGAUGGGGUGGGCUCUGGGGGUGGACUGAGGUCACUACUUCCCCCGUGGAAGCUGAGGCUCCUGUGCUCCUGCACAGAGGCCAACUCUGUCCUGCGAUCCAAAGGGCCAUCUCGGUCGUGAGCAGGACUUGGCAGGGCCCUUCCCAAGCAGGGUCCAGCCGGUUUUCCUCCCAGACCUGGAUCAGGAUGUGGUCACCUGGCUGAUGUGACUGUGCAGGAAACCCCAGAGGUGGAGCCUGCACCAGGAGGCCCUGCAACCUUAGGGAGGACAAAGCAGAGGAGACCCAAUGUGUACUUCUAGGAAACUGAGCCUUCGUUUCAAAGGUGGGGAAACCGUUGUGUUCCUGGAUAUGGCCACCCAGGGAACAGCUCAUGUGGGGACAGCCUCCAACUCUCCAGGGAGAGGUUCUAAGUCAGAGGAGGGCAGUGGGGGGUGUCCAAUCCAGGGGGGGCUUUGUCUCCAAUAUCAGCUUAGUGGUUCUUCUCUUGAGAGUUUGGUUCUUUCUCUCCACCUUUCCCGAGGAAGGAGGGUGCCAGGGGUGUGAUAUUCCCAUGUUAUAUUGAAGGUUUUCUUGAGUUCUUUAAUAAUGGUGAAAUGGCCUCCAUUAUCUGAAUCUGUGUUCUUCUUCAAACCAAGUCAAGGGAUUGCAGAUUCCAACAAGACCUUGGCCAUGUUGUUGGGAGUGGUGCUAGGCAGGGGGAUGGCGUCUACCCAGCUGGUUAAAUGCUCUACUAUUUGUGGAGAGCAGUAACAGUGAGAGAGCAGUGUCUGAAAUUGGGGUCCCUGAUGACUUCAUGGCUGUGGCAGGCUCGGUGCCUGGGGAAGGGUCUGUGCAAAGGUGCAGGAUGCCCAGUUGCUAUGGUAAUGCCUCCAGGAAGGGGCUCUGUGCUAGAGUUUUAUCAGCCUUGACCUUGACCUCGAGCACACAGCUCCUGAGAAUAAAGAAAUUCUCUUGCUAAGACAACAACAACAUUUCACUGGCUCUGCUGCUCCUGAACCUGCCCCAUAACAGUAACUUUAAACAAUGGACUUUCUUGAGAGCUACACAAAGCUCCUAACAUUGCACAUUGUAGCUGUAGUAUGUAACUGAGGAAUGAGCUGCUUAGUGUUGCUAACUCUGCAACUUUCAGGAAUAUAAAGAAAAAUGCUUGCAUUGUCUUUAAUCUGAUCAAUGAGACACAUAUAAUAAAGAUUGCUGGCAUAAUUCUUUAGAGCUGCUUCUCCAUCGGAGAGCAGCCCUCCACCC